Molecule: ribosomal RNA, 478 nt
Filed under: uncultured bacterium
Lineage: Bacteria
Description: SSU rRNA
Rfam family: Bacterial small subunit ribosomal RNA
Source: RNAcentral
AGGAUGAACGCUGGCGGCGUGCCUAACACAUGCAAGUCGAACGUCCUGUCUCGCAAGAGGCAGGGAGUGGCGGACGGGUGAGUACCACGUGGGUUAUCUACCGUGAGGUGAGGAAUACCGGCGAGAAAUCGCCGACAAGACCGCAUAGCCUCGGUGCAAGCCGAGGAAAGCUUUCUCGAGAGAGGGAGCGCCACACGAGGAGCCUGCGCCCGAUUAGCUAGCUGGUGGAGUAACGGUUCACCAGGGCGACGAUCGGUAGCUGGUCUGAGAGGACGAUCAGCCACACUGGGAUUGAGAACGGCCCAGACUCCUACGGGGGGCAGCAGUGAGGAAUUUCGUCAAUGGGGCAACCCUGAACGAGCAACGCCGCGUGCAGGAAGAAGGUUUUCGGAUCGUAAACUGUCUUUUCGUCGGGGAAGAGGAACGGACGGUACCCGAGGAAUCAGCCCGGCUAACUACGCGCCAGCAGCCGCGGUAA